Molecule: ribosomal RNA, 513 nt
Filed under: uncultured bacterium
Lineage: Bacteria
Description: partial 16S ribosomal RNA
Rfam family: Bacterial small subunit ribosomal RNA
Source: RNAcentral
GACGAACGCUGGCGGCAUGCCUAAUACAUGCAAGUCGAGCGAACAGAUGAAGUGCUUGCACUUCUGACGUUAGCGGCGAACGGGUGAGUAACACGUAAGGAAUCUACCUAUAAGCGGGGGAUAACAUUCGGAAACGGGUGCUAAUACCGCAUAAUAUCUUCUUCCGCAUGGAAGAAGAUUGAAAGACGGCUCUGCUGUCACUUAUAGAUGACCUUGCGGUGCAUUAGUGAGUUGGUGGGGUAAUGGCCUACCAAGACGAUGAUGCAUAGCCGACCUGGGAGGGUGAUCGGCCACAUUGGGACUGAGACACGGCCCAAACUCCUACGGGAGGCAGCAGUAGGGAAUCUUCCGCAGUGGGCGAAAGCCUGACGGAGCGAUGCCGCGUGAGUGAAGAAGGCCUUCGGGUCGUAAAACUCUGUUAUAAGAGAAGAACAAAUUGUAGAGUAACUGCUACAGUCUUGACGGUAUCUUAUCAGAAAGCCACGGCUAACUACGUGCCAGCCGCCGCCGUAA